Molecule: ribosomal RNA, 301 nt
Filed under: uncultured bacterium
Lineage: Bacteria
Description: partial 16S ribosomal RNA
Rfam family: Bacterial small subunit ribosomal RNA
Source: RNAcentral
CAGCAGCCGCGGGAAUACGUAGGGUCCGAGCGUUGUCCGGAAUUACUGGGCGUAAAGAGCUCGUAGGUGGUUUGUCGCGUUGUUCGUGAAAACUCACAGCUCAACUGUGGGCGUGCGGGCGAUACGGGCAGACUGGAGUACUGCAGGGGAGACUGGAAUUCCUGGUGUAGCGGUGGAAUGCGCAGAUAUCAGGAGGAACACCGGUGGCGAAGGCGGGUCUCUGGGCAGUAACUGACGCUGAGGAGCGAAAGCGUGGGGAGCGAACAGGAUUAGAGACCCCUGUAGUUCCUGUCUCUUAUAC